RNAcentral lists this transfer RNA (68 nucleotides) under Chamaeleo dilepis (flapneck chameleon). RNAcentral describes it as "tRNA-Ile". The record is from RNAcentral. Lineage: Eukaryota; Metazoa; Chordata; Lepidosauria; Squamata; Chamaeleonidae.
GGAAGUGUGCCCGAGAACAGGGACUACUUUGAUAGAGUAAAUACAGAGGAAAUAACCCUCUCUCUUCC